Molecule: ribosomal RNA, 253 nt
Filed under: uncultured bacterium
Lineage: Bacteria
Description: partial 16S ribosomal RNA
Rfam family: Bacterial small subunit ribosomal RNA
Source: RNAcentral
UACGGGGGGGGCAAGCGUUGUUCGGAAUUACUGGGCGUAAAGGGCUCGUAGGCGGCCAACUAAGUCAUACGUGAAAUCCCUCGGCUUAACCGGGGAACUGCGUCUGAUACUGGAUGGCUUGAGAUUGGGAGAGGGAUGCGGAAUUCCAGGUGUAGCGGUGAAAUUCGUAGAUAUGGGGAGGAACACCGGUGGCGAAGGCGGCCAUCUGGACGGAUACUGACGCUGAGACGCGAAAGCGUGGGGAGCAAACAGG